UCCUAUUUGAUAUGGUCUUGUGAAUGGC
This 28-nucleotide small RNA is filed under the name Bombyx mori (domestic silkworm). Its description in RNAcentral is "ovarian small RNA-27756". The record is from RNAcentral. Lineage: Eukaryota; Metazoa; Arthropoda; Insecta; Lepidoptera; Bombycidae.